This is a long non-coding RNA of Octopus sinensis (East Asian common octopus), 744 nucleotides long. RefSeq lists it as uncharacterized. The record is from RefSeq and is a predicted model, not a curated record. The transcript is spliced from 3 exons. NCBI's taxonomy places the organism in Eukaryota, Metazoa, Mollusca, Cephalopoda, Octopoda, Octopodidae.
UUGGGAAAGUGUCCUCUGACAAAGCUGAUCAAAACCUUCUCCGGUGAAGCUAUGGGGUGAAACUCAAGCUCUCAACUAUGUGUGUGUUGCAUCUUAAAACAGAAACCACAGAACAGCUUGAGUAUUGGUCAACUGUUAACAGCAUUGGAGAGCCUAAAGAUGUAGUCAAGAAAAAGUUAUGUUACAUGGAGGACUGGAAGCCAUUUCAAUAUUGGAAAAGUGUUACCUGUGUUAUGAUGAUUUAGACCAGGUAUCAAAAUGUCGACAUUUUGGCUACUGCUCAGUGCUCUGCAAACACUGUAGAGGCUGUAAGACAUGUCAUGGACAACAGUGACUUCAAAGCUAUGACCAGAGGAAAGGAUACAGUAGGCAUUCUAACUGCAUCCACACUUUGAAAUUCAUCCAACAACUGCAGGAUAAGAUGAUGGAAGAUCUGGACAAGGGAAUCCAUGCUUUGAUAAGAGAAAUUGAUGUUAGAAUCACCUCUAUGAAGCUGGCCCUGAAUGAAUCCCUUUGCUACAACUCAUACAAUAAGCUCAAGAGAUAAAUUCUAACAGCCAAGACCAAAGAGAACUACUUGAAAAGGCUUCUGAACAAGCUGAAGUAUCUUGUUGAGCUGGGGAUGAUCUAGUCUUCCUCAGAUGAAAAGAAUUUAUGCUACUUGCACAACACUCAGAACAACAGAUGAUUUGCCUACAAUCCAUGUGAUGUCCUGUGUAUCAUGAAAACCAAGUUCCCCCAAAC